RNAcentral lists this unclassified non-coding RNA (253 nucleotides) under Hevea brasiliensis (rubber tree). The record is from RNAcentral. Lineage: Eukaryota; Viridiplantae; Streptophyta; Magnoliopsida; Malpighiales; Euphorbiaceae.
CCAAAUCCUCAUCGGUAGCGACGGAAAUAAGGGAAUCCAAGUCCUCGCUGGGGAGCUGAUACUUGAGAGUGAAAGGACGGCCGUUGAGCAGAGUAUUCGAAAGACGAGACGAUAGAGAAGAGAGAGUAGUGGUGCGGUCGACAACAACGAUGCGUGUGUCGCCGCAAACGUAGCACAACGACUUGUCGUGGGGGCGAGGAACGAUGUGGCCACCGUAGGAGCACAUGAGGCGGAGCUUUGAGGAGAGGGGAGG